Molecule: long non-coding RNA, 6683 nt
Filed under: Setaria viridis
Lineage: Eukaryota; Viridiplantae; Streptophyta; Magnoliopsida; Poales; Poaceae
Description: long non-coding RNA (SVIR_LNC007881)
Source: RNAcentral
GAUCUAUUCGAGCUAGGGUUUUUGCCUCCUCUCGCUGCUGCGCCGCCACCGUAGUCUACUCCAUCCCGAUUGUCGGCGUGCACCGGCGAUUGGGAGAGCAGGUCUCCGGAACCGUCGUCUUCAGCGAUCCUGCACCGGGAGAGGGCGAAUAAGGUUUUUGGGAAGCGCUCUGCGCGACUGCUCGAUCGCUUCCUCCGCUUCGUCAAGUUCUUCGUCGACUCCUUCACCACGGCUCGUCUACCUCUUCGUCGCUCGGGCCUCACUCGUCGUCGCGAACAACGUCAGGCUGCUGAUCGUCGUCGCCUGCUGUAUCCGGUAGUCGUCCAGGAACCGGUUUUCAUCAAGAAAGAAACGUACGUUCUCUUAACUCACAUUAUGUCUUCCAUACUAGCUAUUAUGAUCUGUUGCAGUCUGAUAGCACUGGAUAGUAUGGUAGAAUGUCUGGUUCUAUUUGCAAUGAUAGACUUGUCUAGAUCUUGCGUAGACAUGUCUAGUUUAAUCUGCUGCUUGUUCAUCAUAUUCAUGAUUUAUUUCUGGAUUAAGUUAAAACUAAAAGUGCUUAUAUAUCCAACAAUCCAAAAACCUUAUUGUAGGCACUUUAGUUUUAUGGCUGGAUUUCUUGAUGCACUGAGGCCAGCACCGUUUGCUGGCGUGCACUUCAAGAGGUGGCAGGUGAAAGCCACGCUAUGGCUUACUGCCAUGAAGGUGUUCUGGGUGUCCAAUGGCAAACCGGAAGGGGUUCUCGCUCCUGAAAAGGAGAAAGAAUAUUCGGAAGCCAACACAAUCUUCUUGGGCGCUGUGAUUGGUGCACUUGCAGAACAUCUGCAAGAUGUGUACCUUCAUCACACGGUCGCAAAGGAGUAGUGGGAUGAUCUAACUGCCAACUACGGUGGCUCAGAUACUGGCACUGAACUGUACAUCAUUGAGCAGUAUCAUGACUACAAGAUGGUUGACGGAAAAUCUGUAGUCGCUCAGGCUCAUGAAUUACAGUGCAUGGUGAAGGAACUCGAUCUGCUAAAGAUUGUCGUGUCUGACAAGUUUGUGGCUGGGGGCAUUAUUGCCAAGUUACCUCCAUCCUGGAGGGAUUUCGCCACUUCUCUCAAACACAAGAGGACAGAAAUUUCUGUUUCAGACUUGAUUGCGUCUCUUGAUGUUGAGGAGAAAGCUCGGGCUAAAGAUGGGCGAUCUAAAGCUGUUGAGGGUCAGACCAGUGCCAAUAUGGUGCACCAAUCACAUCACAAUGGCAAUGGUGGUAAGGGCAAGGGCAAGAACAAUAAGCCUAAGCAGUCCACUACCUUCAAGAAGAAGAAGAACAAGGAGAUUGAGGGAUGCUUCGUGUGCGGUUCUACUGACCAUUGGGCAAAAAAGUGCCCAAACCGCAAAGGAAGAAAACCUCCACAGCAGAAGUCUGUAAGCAUGGUGACCAGCGCUGAAGAUGGAAAUAGUGGGUAUGGUAAUUUACCUUCUGUUUUUUCAGUGUUUCAUUCUACCAAUACUUGGUGGCUUGAUACUUGUGGCGUCCCGCCCCCCAGGGGCCAGGCCCGCUUACACCUGGCAGCUCUCUAGAAUAUCAAGAAUUCCCUCACAGACCAACACACGUCUUUUCUGUGCACUUUGUCCUCACUCGUGCGCACCCGGGAAGAACUUCCCGGUCGGUCACCCAUCCCGAAAUUGCUCCGGACCAAGCACGCUUAACCCCGGAGUUCUUUAAGGAUGAGCUUCCGGAAAAGAAGUUGCAACUUGUUGGUAUGAAUAUUCUAUCAAUCCUAUUAAGCCUUGGGCCGGGAUGUCACAUACUCACCCCCUUAGAAGACCGACGCCCUCGUCGGUCAACCCCAAGCCAGGAACGUCCCCUCUUGGCCACGUCCGUGUGUCCAGUGCCAGCGCAUGUGCCAUGCUAUGUGACCACUCUGGGCCCACACCAGCCAUGCACACCAUGCCUGCGCAACUGCGACCGCACGCGCCCGUGAAACCGCGAGAGUCGACUCUGAUACCAACUGUGGCGUCCCGCCCCCCAGGGGCCAGGCCCGCUUACACCUGGCAGCUCUCUAGAAUAUCAAGAAUUCCCUCACAGACCAACACACGUCUUUUCUGUGCACUUUGUCCUCACUCGUGCGCACCCGGGAAGAACUUCCCGGUCGGUCACCCAUCCCGAAAUUGCUCCGGACCAAGCACGCUUAACCCCGGAGUUCUUUAAGGAUGAGCUUCCGGAAAAGAAGUUGCAACUUGUUGGUAUGAAUAUUCUAUCAAUCCUAUUAAGCCUUGGGCCGGGAUGUCACAAUACUGGUGCUAAUGUUCAUGUGUGUGCUGAUGCCUCCUUGUUUUCAUCUUACCAGGUCGCUCGGGAUUCCUCCGUCCUAAUGGGGAAUGGGUCACAUGAUUCUGUUCAUGGUGUUGGUAUGGUAGAUCUGAAGUUUACUUCGGGAAAGAUCGUGCAACUGAAGAACGUGCAGCAUGUCCCUUCUAUCAGGAAGAAUCUAGUUAGUGGCUCCCUUUUGUGUAGGGAUGGCUUUAAGGUAGUGCUUGAGUCUAAUAAAAUUGUCGUGUCUAAGAGUGGACAAUUUAUUGGUAAAGGCUAUGAGUGCGGAGGCUUGUUCCGCUUUUCCCUUACAGAUUAUUGCAAUAAGUCAGUGAACUAUAUUUGUGAUGGUAUUAAUGAGAGUGAUGCUAGUGUUUGGCAUUCACGUUUAUGUCAUCUGAAUUUUGGUUCUAUGUCUCGACUUUCCAGCCUGUGUUUAAUUCUGAAUUUUUCCAUUGUCAAAGGUUCUAAGUGCCAUAGUUGUGUGCAAUCUAAACAACCUCGAAAACCUCACAAGGUAGCCGAGGAGAGACACUUGGCACCACUUGAACUCAUUCAUUCUGAUAUAUGCGAGAUGAAUGGUGUGUUGACCAAAGGUGGAAAAAGAUAUUUCAUGACUUUGAUAGAUGAUGCGUCUAGAUAUUGCUAUGUAUAUUUAUUGAAAACGAAAGAUGAGGCUCUUAACUACUUUAAAAUCUAUAAGGCUGAAGUUGAGAAUCAGCUUGAGAAAAAGAUCAAGAGAAUUAGGUCUGAUCGUGGUGGCGAGUAUUUCUCUAAUGAUUUCGACUUGUUCUGUGAAGAACAUGGUAUUGUACAUGAGAGGACGCCUCCCUAUUCGCCCCAAUCAAACGGGGUUGCCGAAAGAAAGAAUCGCACUUUGACUGACUUGGUGAACGCCAUGUUAGACACCAGUGGAUUAUCUAAGGCAUGGUGGGGGGAGGCUGUAUUGACUUCAUGUCAUGUCCUGAAUAAAGUACCCAUGAAGAAUAAGGAGAAAACUCCCUAUGAAGAAUGGAUUGGAAGAAAACCAUCACUUUCAUACUUACGCACUUGGGGUUGCUUGGCCAAAGUUAGUGUGCCAAUCAACAAGAAACGUAAGUUGGGACCUAAAACUGUGGAUUGUGUCUUUUUGGGAUAUGCUCAUCAUAGCAUAGCCUAUAGAUUUUUAGUGGUUAAAUCAGAGGUGCCUGAUGUUCAUGUUAAUACCUUGAUGGAGUCUCGUGAUGUUACUUUCUUUGAGAAUAUAUUUCCUAUGAAACAAUUGCAUAGUAUGUCUAGACUAUCUUUUGAUAUGAUUGCUGAGACAACUCCUGAACCUAUUGUGCUUCCUGAUCAUGCUGAACAAACACUUGAGCCAGUUCAUGAGGAGGUUAACAGUGAAGCUCCUAAGAGGAGCAAGAGACAAAGAACUGCAAAGUCCUUUGGUGAUGAUUUCACUGUCUAUCUCGUAGAUGAUACUCCUAAGACCAUUUCAGAGGCAUUUGCAUCUCCAGAUGCAGAUGAUUGGAAAGAAGCUAUCCAUAGUGAGAUGGACUCUAUUCUUUCUAAUGGAACUUGGGAGGUUGUUGAUCGACCGUAUGGUUGUAAACCUGUGGGUUGCAAGUGGGUGUUCAAGAAGAAGCUUAGGCCUGAUGGUACUAUUGAUAAGUACAAGGCUCGACUUGUGGCUAAGGGUUAUACCCAGAAAGAAGGCGAAGAUUUCUUCGACACUUACUCACCUGUUGCGAGAUUGACCAGCAUUCGAGUAUUACUUUCCCUUGCUGCCUCACAUGGUCUUCUCGUCCAUCAGAUGGAUGUUAAGACAGCUUUCCUUAAUGGAGAGUUGGAUGAGGAAAUUUAUAUGAAUCAGCCUGAUGGAUUUGUAAUAAAGGGUCAAGAGAACAAGGUGUGUAAGUUGCUGAAAUCUUUGUAUGGCCUGAAACAAGCACCUAAGCAGUGGCAUGAGAAAUUUGAUACUACACUCAUAUCAGCAGGCUUUUCUGUCAAUGAGGCUGAUAGAUGUGUGUACUACCGCCAUGGUGGGGGUGAGGGAGUUAUAUUGUGCUUGUAUGUCGAUGACAUACUGAUCUUUGGUACAAAUCUUGACGUGAUCAAAGAGGUCAAGUUAUUUCUGUGCCAAAAUUUCGACAUGAAAGAUCUGGGAGAGGCUGAUGUAAUUCUGAAUAUCAAGUUGAUCAAAGGAGAGAAUGGGAUUACUCUCACGCAAUCUCAUUAUGUGAAAAAGGUCUUGAGCCGGUUUGGCUUUAAGGAUAGUAAGCCUUCUCCCACACCUUAUGAUCCGAGCUUGAUACUUCGGAAAAACAAGAGAAUUGGUAGAGACCAAUUAAGAUACUCUCAAAUUAUUGGAUCACUUAUGUAUUUAGCCAGUGCUACUAGGCCUGACAUCUCAUAUGCUGUUUGCAAACUGAGCCGGUUUACCUCUAAUCCGGGAGAUGAUCAUUGGCGUGCGCUUGAGCGAGUCAUGCGCUAUUUAGUUGGUACUAUGGAUUACGGAAUUCACUACUCCGGGUAUCCUGCGGUGCUGGAAGGCUAUAGUGAUUCAAAUUGGAUAUCUGAUGCUGAUGAACUGUAUGCCACAAGUGGAUACGUCUUCACUCUGGGUGGUGGUGCUGUUUCAUGGAGGUCAUCCAAACAGACUAUCUUAACGAGUUCUACCAUGGAAGCAGAACUUGCAGCAUUAGAUACAGCCACAGUUGAGGCUGAUUGGCUACGUGAACUCUUGAUGGACUUGCCUAUUGUCGAGAAACCUAUGCCGGCAAUACUUAUGAAUUGUGACAAUCAAACGGUGAUUGUCAAAGUGAACAAUUCUAAGGACAAUAUGAAGUUAUCAAGACACGUUAAGAGACGUCUGAAAUCUGUCAGGAAAAUGAGAAACUCCGGAGUAAUAUCAGUGGAUUACAUCUCAACUGAUAAGAACUUGGCAGAUCAGUUCACUAAGGGGCUGUCACGUAAUGUGAUAGACAAUGCAUCAAAGGAGAUGGGUAUGAGACCCAUAUGAGCUACACCAUGGUGGUAACCCAACCUAUGUGAUCGGAGAUCCCGUGAAGUAGGAUCUGGGAAGAACAAGCCAUGGGAUAGCAUGAGAGUAUCCUACUAACCCACUCGAGAAAUGAUGCAACACUCUCAAACCACUGCAUGGCAGGCUGGCUACUGCCUUAAUAUAUUUUGUUGGCUUUAAUUAGCAAAGAUGUUGCCCUGCAGAACAUCUUGGAAAAAUAUACCUAUAUGAGCCCGACUGUUGUAAGGUCGCAGUCUGUGAGACUUGGGUGAUCUCUAUUAAGCUCAUGAAGAGACCAGGGGGGUACGACCUAUAUGCCCCACCCGCGGGGUAGGCUACAGGCAGCCAGGUACUAGUCCCGACUUUGAGUGAAACUUGUCCGCACAAAACUUGCAAUUCAAGGCUUUGUCCAUUGUUCAAGUUGUGGAUGAAUGUAGCUUGAAGCUCUAGGUGAGAGUUCAACUUAACAGUCCUCGCCGAAACACUAGUAUAUAAACAGCAGUGAGAAACAGGCAAAAUCUCUGAUGGGCAUUUGAGAUCUGGUGGGGGAUUGUUGAAAUAAUGGGCCUAGCCCAUAAGCAAUUUCAGAAUUUCAAAUAAAUCUCAAAGGCCCAUGUGGGCAAGAGGUGGAGUGCAAGUCUUUAGUCCCACAUUGCUAGUGGAGGGGAGGGAUGACCAACUUAAAUAUGGAAGUUGUCUCCACUCCUCCAAGCUAUGUGUGUGGGGAGGGAAGGAGAGCUCCACACGCGCGCGCUCGCACGCCACGCCUCGCCUCGCCUCGCCUCGCCUCGCCUCGCCAGGCGGGGCGGGGCGGGGCGGGGCGAAGGGCGCGGGCGCGCGGCACCUGCGUGAAUGGUCCGCCGAAAUUCGGCCCCUCGCCUUGCGGGGGCGCGGCUUCCUUUUGCCGUUUUAUUUUUUGGUUACUUGGUCGUUAAGUCAGCGAGAUAUAUGGAAUCCUAACCGGUUUAGAUCACGAUCGCGACGUGAGAAUCGUGGGCUCUCCUAUAUAUGCGACCUACCGGCCUCUACCAGAAACAGAUCUAUUCGAGCUAGGGUUUUUGCCUCCUCUCGCUGCUGCGCCGCCACCGUAGUCUACUCCAUCCCGAUUGUCGGCGUGCACCGGCGAUUGGGAGAGCAGGUCUCCGGAACCGUCGUCUUCAGCGAUCCUGCACCGGGAGAGGGCGAAUAAGGUUUUUGGGAAGCGCUCUGCGCGACUGCUCGAUCGCUUCCUCCGCUUCGUCAAGUUCUUCGUCGACUCCUUCACCACGGCUCGUCUACCUCUUCGUCGCUCGGGCCUCACUCGUCGUCGCGAACAACAUCAGGCUGCUGAUCGUCGUCGCCUGCUGUAUCCGGUAGUCGUCCAGGAACCAGUUUUCAUCAAGAAAG